AACGAACGCUGGCGGCAUGCCUAACACAUGCAAGUCGAACGAUUGCCUUCGGGUGAUAGUGGCGCACGGGUGCGUAACGCGUGGGAAUCUGCCCUUAGGUUCGGAAUAACAGCUGGAAACGGCUGCUAAUACCGGAUGAUAUCGCGAGAUCAAAGAUUUACCGCCUGAGGAUGAGCCCGCGUUGGAUUAGGUAGUUGGUGGGGUAAAGGCCUACCAAGCCGACGAUCCAUAGCUGGUCUGAGAGGAUGAUCAGCCACACUGGGACUGAGACACGGCCCAGACUCCUACGGGAGGCAGCAGUGGGGAAUAUUGGACAAUGGGCGCAAGCCUGAUCCAGCAAUGCCGCGUGAGUGAUGAAGGCCCUAGGGUUGUAAAGCUCUUUUACCCGGGAAGAUAAUGACUGUACCGGGAGAAUAAGCCCCGGCUAACUCCGUG
This 435-nucleotide ribosomal RNA is filed under the name uncultured bacterium. RNAcentral's name for it is "partial 16S ribosomal RNA". It matches the Rfam family "Bacterial small subunit ribosomal RNA", at positions 29 to 507 of the family's 1533-position model. The record is from RNAcentral.